Equus caballus (horse) is the source of this 1550-nucleotide long non-coding RNA. The record is from Ensembl. NCBI's taxonomy places the organism in Eukaryota, Metazoa, Chordata, Mammalia, Perissodactyla, Equidae.
GAAUUGCCUACUUACUGCAUUCCUAAGUCUAUUAUUCAAAUGGAUACAUAUUGUUUUAAUCGCUGGGUCACUCAAGUUGCCUCACAUUUCUGCCUUGUUCUAGUCAUCUCCGUCUUUCAAGCAAUCAGUUCUUGACCUUCAUCUUGUUGUUACCAAUCUUGGUUACCUCAGGUGUUUCUUUGUCAAACCGUCCCCUUCUCACUGGCGGUCAUUAAAGUCUGUGACAAUACUUUUUUCCUGGAUAAAGUUCCACUGUCCCUCUAUUUAUGGCUCCCUUUUGUCUACUGAAGUGCUCUCUGGCUUCCUUGAAGUAGCAACAGCGAGAGGAGCGUGGCUGCAGACAAGGAGAAGCUGCUUGUUAGGGAGCUACACAAAGCCUCCGGGAGGCGAUUUUGUUGAGAGGCUGUUAUUUAUUGAAUCAUUAGCUGAGAAGAUAACAUUCUCUUAUAUAGUGAAUUCUCUUUUUUUUUUUUUACAUGACUUUAAUAUGGAAUUGAAGUGGUAACUGGAACUGGAGCAUAUAAAAGACAACAAUAAUAUGAUAAUAGUCCCAUAUUUUAUUUAUAUGCCCACCAACUUCCAAAAGGAUUUCAUGAAACUUAUAAUAAAAGCAGAAUGGGCACAGGCUUUUUAAAAUAAAGAUGAAAGAUAGACCAAAAACCACAUAAAUGUGGGAAUAUUUUCAUGGACAAAGUAACAAAAAUUGGAAUGCUAUAUCCUUAAUAUUCAACAUCUAGAGAAACCUGAAAACUCCAACUAAAUAGAUUCUGAAAGCACAUCUAAAGUCAGGUCAGCACACAGAGCUGGCACAGCUGACUGCCUAGCGAGGGAGCGGAAUACAGCUGCAGUCAGAGACCAAUCCUCCACACCGAGACUUGGCACUACUGGAGAUCUGUGGGCUGGGGAACGGAAGCAGGGGAUAUUGCAAAAGCAGAGACAGCUGGGGAGAUCCAGCCUUUGAAGGAACCUACGAGGAAGCCCUCCCACUGCUAGAUAUUUUCUCUUGAUGCCGUAAUAGUAGCUGGAGUUCCAGAAUACAGGUCCCUUGAGAUUAAUGUGCACCACUUUUAAAAUGCAAUUAAUUAAGGAGUGUUAAAUAAUAUCAGUCAUUCACACUGUCAUCUCAUCUGUUGCCUUACGUCAAAAUAGAAAGAAUUUCACAGAGACAUGGGGGAAGGGUGGGAGUAGUCGCGGUGAAGUAGGGAGACUGGAGUUAAGUAAUUUCAGAACAUGUCUCAGCUUCUCCUUCCUUGAUUCAACUCAGCAUAUUACAUCAGAAUAGUCCAGAAUGACCCUGGCCAUGUCAUUGGUCCUCCUUUAAAUGAAAACCAAAAUAAAUAAAUACAUACAUACAUAAGUCUCUACUUCUUGGUAUGAAUUCAGGCCCUCGGCAAUCUGGCCUCAUAGACUAACAUCUCUAGGUAGUGUUCACCAUCAACCUUCAUCACACACACGAUACCAGUAAUUCUCAAAAUGUGGUUCCCAGAUCAGCAGCAUCAGCAUCUUCUGAGGACUUGUCAGAAAUGCCGAGUCUCAGGCCUAUCCCAGAC